UCACCUCUCUGCCUUUUACCACUCAGUUCUUUCAACAAUUGCUUCUAGGAACAAUCAAUGAACUCAAUCAAUCAAUCAAAUCGUGUAGAAUUCCCCAAAUCGGAUGUGACUCAAUAAUUGUAACAAAGGACUCAAAGAAAACUUUUAAAGCUUGACUUGAAUUGAAGGAAUGGAAUGAUUUAAUGUGUCCAAGUAAUUUAG
Molecule: long non-coding RNA, 201 nt
Filed under: Olea europaea (common olive)
Lineage: Eukaryota; Viridiplantae; Streptophyta; Magnoliopsida; Lamiales; Oleaceae
Description: long non-coding RNA (OEUR_LNC008877)
Source: RNAcentral